Lolium perenne is the source of this 2034-nucleotide non-coding RNA. The record is from RefSeq and is a predicted model, not a curated record. Lineage: Eukaryota; Viridiplantae; Streptophyta; Magnoliopsida; Poales; Poaceae.
CAGAACAAUGUGUAGGGGUUGGGGUGCUAAGGGAAGUAGCACAGAUCGGAAUCAAACCACAGGAAUGGUACUGAACGGAGCAGGUUGAGUGGUUUUCUUGGUAUUCUUUCUGGGAAGAAACACAAAUACAGCUCCAUCCUGGUAAAUAAAUGAAGUCAUGAGCGUUCCACCUGUGGCUUGAAAUUUAAGAACCUUUGCAUUGAAGGGAAGCUAUUCCAAGUGCUUAAUAGUGUUACUUGAGAAUAGAAAACAAGGGAUUAUCUGUAGUGUUGCAAGUUGGAAAAUGGCAAACUGUACUGAAGUAGUUUCUGCACUGUAUAUUUCUUGGUCCCACUGAAUAUGGGUAGCCAAUUUCCCUAUUUCCUAGAGUUAAGUUUGGAGCAUGUUAUGUUAUGUGAAGUUUGUCUAUAUAUGUGCAGGUUAAAUACUCUCAAAUUGCUUUUAAACUUCUACCCAAGUAUCUAUAUGUUUAUUUUAUUUGCUGCAAUACGUUAGAGCUCACUGAAAAUAUUUGUUCUCACCUACAGCAAUGCGUUUCAGCCAAAUUUGGAAUUUUUAUUAUUGGGUGUUCUCAUCCGCAUAUAUUGAAGUACCGAGAAACAAGAAGCAGGUCGUUGGCUUUUAUUGACUUUCAUCUGCAUAUACUGAAGUAAGGGGAAACAAGAAGUGAAAGUUUGGGUACUUAUUUUUCCAUGAAGUUUUCUUUCAGAGCAUCGAGAGCGGAUGGAUAAGAAGGUGUUCAGUACAUGGGAUUGGAGAAAUAAGAAGAGAUGUAAUAUUCCUACACGUAAAUGUGCGACCUAAUUAUAAUUUCAGCCGCGAGGUUGGGUAGACUAGCAUCCUAAAGGUAUGGAGGUACCUCGCAGCUUUGUUGAUGACGGGAUGCAAGAUUACAUAUAAGUUUUGGACAUGGAGCCACAUCCAUUGCCAAUAAGAUCAUUUUUUGCAUGGAGUUAGAAAAGAACUUUCAGCUCAAGUCCUGAUUUUUGUAGGAGAGCUAUUUACGAAGCUAGAAGUUUGUCACGUCGAGGGUGUGGAGCUGGUGGUCGGUGGAAUGCCUUGCUGGAUUGAGGUAUAUGCUGAUGAGAUUGGACCAGGGGGAUGCUAUCAGGAAGGCGUCUAUUUCUUAGAUGAUCUGGCUUAUAAAAUUAUGUUAUUGAAGAACAUUGGUGAAGAACUGUGAAGAUGCACCCUAUGUUGGCUUAUUUGGUUUGCCUCGGUUAAAAGAGCACCAGCGUCACCUUUGAGAGCUGCAGCAGCCGUCCACAGAUGACACUUAUUUCCGAAAACAGAUGGAAGCGGCAUGCUGUGAGAAGGCCUAGGUGAUAUCUGCCGAGUCGAAACACAGGUCAUGGUACAACAAAGCCCACUGACGUAUCCAAUUGCAUGUUCAUCAUGCUAUCCCUGCACUGUUAAUGUCCGCUUUUGGGCUAUUUGUGUUGCUAGGAGCCAUACAAUCAUGUGUCCACCAAAGUGGUUUUGCUUUAGAACUCUUGGAUCCUUUUACUACGAAUAUAUUUUUGUACCAUGCACACAAUUGCUGAUUGAAAAAGUAAAACGUAAUUUAUCAAUAUAAUGACUAUCAUGAGACUAAAUUAGCCAUGACAUGUAUGGAGUUUUGAAAUUUAAAAAAUUUCCUUGCAUCUUCUUUUCUUCUCUACUGCCUGGAAUGUGAGCAAAUAUAUCAUGUUGAUUGCUCAAUCAUACUUUUGAGUUUUCAUCUGUACACAUUAUACAAUUUUGUUCUCAAAACUGUAGAUUGAGUAUAUGAGAUAUUCUGCACCAAGCCUGAUCUUUAUUCGCAUUUGGAAAUAUAUCUGAUUCAGGGAUUGAUGCCGUCAUACUUGAAUAUAUUGUUGCUCUUAAUAUGAAAUUUCUGCAUAGCUUAUAAUUUGAUCAUAUGACUCCCUACUGUCCAGUUAUGCACAUUAAGUUUUAUAUGCUUAUACUAAGUUUUAUAUGCAUAUACUUUCAUAAUUGCCCAUUCAGUUAACAUUAGAUGCUUCAGUUGGAUUUUGUCGUUGCAUUGAUUGA